Molecule: ribosomal RNA, 654 nt
Filed under: uncultured bacterium
Lineage: Bacteria
Description: bacterial SSU rRNA
Rfam family: Bacterial small subunit ribosomal RNA
Source: RNAcentral
AAAAGGCGGCGUAAGCUGUCGCUAAAGGAUGGACCCGCGGUGCAUUAGCUAGUUGGUAAGGUAACGGCUUACCAAGGCGACGAUGCAUAGCCGAGUUGAGAGACUGAUCGGCCACAUUGGGACUGAGACACGGCCCAAACUCCUACGGGAGGCAGCAGUAGGGAAUCUUCCACAAUGGGCGAAAGCCUGAUGGAGCAACGCCGCGUGAGUGAAGAAGGUUUUCGGAUCGUAAAGCUCUGUUGUUGGUGAAGAAGGAUAGAGGUAGUAACUGGCCCCUAUUUGACGGUAAUCAACCAGAAAGUCACGGCUAACUACGUGCCAGCAGCCGCGGUAAUACGUAGGUGGCAAGCGUUGUCCGGAUUUAUUGGGCGUAAAGCGAGCGCAGGCGGAAAGAUAAGUCUGAUGUGAAAGCCCCCGGCUUAACCGAGGAAUUGCAUCGGAAACUGUGUUUCUUGAGUGCAGAAGAGGAGAGUGGAACUCCAUGUGUAGCGGUGGAAUGCGUAGAUAUAUGGAAGAACACCAGUGGCGAAGGCGGCUCUCUGGUCUGUAACUGACGCUGAGGCUCGAAAGCAUGGGUAGCGAACAGGAUUAGAUACCCUGGUAGUCCAUGCCGUAAGCGAUGAGUGCUAAGUGUUGGGAGGUUUCCGCCUCUCA